RNAcentral lists this ribosomal RNA (1003 nucleotides) under Neisseria subflava. RNAcentral's name for it is "bacterial SSU rRNA". It matches the Rfam family "Bacterial small subunit ribosomal RNA", at positions 466 to 1470 of the family's 1533-position model. The record is from RNAcentral. Lineage: Bacteria; Pseudomonadati; Pseudomonadota; Betaproteobacteria; Neisseriales; Neisseriaceae.
CUGAUGACGGUACCUGAAGAAUAAGCACCGGCUAACUACGUGCCAGCAGCCGCGGUAAUACGUAGGGUGCGAGCGUUAAUCGGAAUUACUGGGCGUAAAGCGGGCGCAGACGGUUACUUAAGCGGGAUGUGAAAUCCCCGGGCUCAACCCGGGAACUGCGUUCCGAACUGGGUGGCUAGAGUGUGUCAGAGGGGGGUAGAAUUCCACGUGUAGCAGUGAAAUGCGUAGAGAUGUGGAGGAAUACCGAUGGCGAAGGCAGCCCCCUGGGAUAACACUGACGUUCAUGCCCGAAAGCGUGGGUAGCAAACAGGAUUAGAUACCCUGGUAGUCCACGCCCUAAACGAUGUCGAUUAGCUGUUGGGGUACUUGAUGCCUUAGUAGCGUAGCUAACGCGUGAAAUCGACCGCCUGGGGAGUACGGUCGCAAGAUUAAAACUCAAAGGAAUUGACGGGGACCCGCACAAGCGGUGGAUGAUGUGGAUUAAUUCGAUGCAACGCGAAGAACCUUACCUGGUCUUGACAUGUACGGAACCUUCCAGAGACGGAAGGGUGCCUUCGGGAGCCGUAACACAGGUGCUGCAUGGCUGUCGUCAGCUCGUGUCGUGAGAUGUUGGGUUAAGUCCCGCAACGAGCGCAACCCUUGUCAUUAGUUGCCAUCAUUUGGUUGGGCACUCUAAUGAGACUGCCGGUGACAAACCGGAGGAAGGUGGGGAUGACGUCAAGUCCUCAUGGCCCUUAUGACCAGGGCUUCACACGUCAUACAAUGGUCGGUACAGAGGGUAGCCAAGCCGCGAGGCGGAGCCAAUCCCAGAAAACCGAUCGUAGUCCGGAUUGCACUCUGCAACUCGAGUGCAUGAAGUCGGAAUCGCUAGUAAUCGCAGGUCAGCAUACUGCGGUGAAUACGUUCCCGGGUCUUGUACACACCGCCCGUCACACCAUGGGAGUGGGGGAUACCAGAAGCAGGUAGGCUAACCGCAAGGGGGCCGCUUGCCACGGUAUGCUUC